CAGAGGGAUGGAGCAGCUCUGCUGGGAGGAAAGCCCAGCCUGUAACCAGGGCCCAGAUUUGUUUGGACAAACAUCUGGAUGUUUUUCUGUUUGCAGUUGUGGUUCUGGGUGGAGCCCACAGGUGAGCAGUGUCCAAAAUCUUGGCUCUUUCCAGCCUGUCACUUUUUUCUGUCAUGUAUUUCCAAGCCACAUUUCACUGCAUUUACCCAAUAUCCUGUUGCUUUCCCAGCUGAGAGUUAAACUCCAAACCAUGCCAUGAGGAGAUGCUAACUGGGGUUAUCCAACAGGUUGGAAAUCAGGAGGAAUUUCUUCAUGGAGAGGGUGGUCGGGAAUUGGAAGGGGCUGCCCAGGGAGGUGGUGGAGGUGUCCAGGGAUGGGCUGGACGUGGCACUCAAUGCUCUGGGCUGGUGACAAGGUGGGGAUGGGUCACAGAUUUGAUUUGACAAUCCUGGAGCUCUUUUUCAACUUUCAAGAUUCUAUGAAUUGUAGUUAGGAAGAAUAAUAAUUACUGUAAUCUUAAGUUUAUUAGCAUUUUGAAUGGACUGGAAAAAUGCUGCAGUGAUCCUUGUAGUUUUGAUGCAGGUAACUAAUAAAAGUCAAGGUCUUUCAGGUGCUGCCAUCUCAGUCAGUAAAUCCUUCUCUGAAAUCAGUGCAGAUCUACCUUGGAGAGUCAGGGAAACAGGGGCAGAGAUGGAGCUCCUGGUGCUGCUGCUCUCCAACUAAAAGACAUUUCAGUGCCAGCUGCCAAACUGCUGUUGAAUUAAAUUAAAAUGAUUAAACACAAGAGUGGCCAAAGCACAGCCCUGCACGGCCUUCUGGUGUCUCCAGCUGUAUGAUGUGGAUUUUCUCUUGUGGGUUGACCCUAAAGGAAACAGAUUGUGUAGAAAAAGUGAAUGGGGCAGUCUGCCUCUGUCAGAGCUAUUGUUCCAGGCUCUCUGCAUGCUCAGGAAGGCAUCCCUUAGAGCAAAGUCAGGAGGGGUUUCUAUAAGUCCACAAAACUCUGAAAUGCAGCAGAUUUUAUUGAAUCCUUGGGUUCUGAUCUCAUAAGAAAUCUCGAGGAAUUGAA
Cyanistes caeruleus (blue tit) is the source of this 1066-nucleotide non-coding RNA. The record is from RefSeq and is a predicted model, not a curated record. NCBI's taxonomy places the organism in Eukaryota, Metazoa, Chordata, Aves, Passeriformes, Paridae.